Brassica rapa (field mustard) is the source of this 5687-nucleotide long non-coding RNA. RefSeq lists it as uncharacterized. The record is from RefSeq and is a predicted model, not a curated record. NCBI's taxonomy places the organism in Eukaryota, Viridiplantae, Streptophyta, Magnoliopsida, Brassicales, Brassicaceae.
UUUUAGAGAAGGUGUUGAAGAAUUUGAUGAUAGCUGUCCAAGAAUGUGCAAGUCGAGAUUCCUAGCGAAUUGGUCGUCAUGAUAUGCGUUGAGGGAGAUAUAUGAGAAGCUCGGAGAAACAAAGGAAAUUUAUAAUAUUUUGAAACCAACUGGAAGCGAGUCAGAUCUAUCAGUUGAGAUCAUUGAUGAUGGGUUAUGGGAUGAUUUAGAGCUGGGAGAUGAUGGGGAUAGGGAUGACCCAAUUGUUGAUGGUUGGAACAAGAUUAUUAUCCAUGACCAAGUAAAAAUUCUUUGGGAGGAUCUGUACAAGAUGGAUGUCAAAACUCGAAAGAUAGAACACGAGCCUGAGAGGAUUUGUGAAGAACUUGUGGGUCCGAGGGUGUGUGAGGAAACUUAGGCAGGAUGUGAGAGUUUGGAAACAAGAGUUUCCCAGUUGGAAGCAAGCCUGAAGGUGAGAGAUGACAUAAUUGGUCAGUUGGAAGCAAGAAUAAAGAGUAUGGAAGAUGACCGCAAUCCGAGGGACAGAUUUGGGAACAUGGAGGACUUGUUUGAUCAUAUGAUCGUUUUGACACUGGUGGAGGCCAAGAAAAUGGUAUAAAUUAUGAACUUAUUUAUUAGGGUCUGUUUUUAAGACAAAUGAUUAACCUUUAUAUAUUGUUAUUUUAGAUGAUAUUUUAGAUGGUAUAAAUUAUAACUAAUACUACCAAGUAAACUAUGGAAAAAAUACUCUGACGGAUACAACUGGUACAACUGGUACAACUAAAUAACAAAAGGUACAACUGUUGUUCUUAAAAUGUAUUACACAUUUAAAACGUGAUAAUCAGCUUAAACAUAAUAAGGUUAUUAACAAGUAGUUGUACCAGUAUUUUAGCUGUACAAUCUAAUACAUAGUUGUAUCAGGUAUUGAGUUGUACAAGUUUGUUCAUAGUUGUAUUUUGGUAGAGAAUUUGAAUUGUGUAGUUGUACCACAUUAAAAAUAUAUAUACCUCAGUUGUACAGCCUUUUAAUUCUUAAAUGCAUUGAACCACAUACAAAUUAAUCAUUAAUUUUGUUAAAAUAUAUUUUUGUGUACGUUUUCCAAAAAUAUAGUGAACAAACUAGUAAACAAACCUUUAAAGUAUAAGGUAGAUCAUGCAAACUUAUGUGAUUGUGUAAUAAUUGAAUUUUUUUUGGUAAAACUUCAAACAAUUAGAUGGAAAACUUAUAUAUUCUAUUGUUAUUUAAUUAUUGAAAGCCAAAUGGAGUUUUAAAAUGUCAUAUUUUAAGAAGUUGUACCAGUAUUUCCUUCCUCGUGUAUAUAAUGUAAUUGAUCUAGUUGUACUAGUAUUACAUCAUAUAGUUAUACUAGUUGUACCAGUACGACAACACAUAAACAUGAUUGUUAUGUUAUAUGAAGUUUUACCAGUUGUACAUGUCGUACCUCACAGAAACAACACAUUAUAUAAGUUCCACAACACAUAAAUAAGUUCCACAAUACAUAAAUAAGUCCCAUAACACAUAAUUAAGACUCACAACAUAUAAUCAAGUUCGAUAACACAUAAGUUAGAGUCAUUCAUCAUUUCCUUCGUUGUCACCUCCCUCGUCACCACUUCCUUCGCUGCCACUUUCCUCGCUGUCACUUCCCUCAUUGAUGCUUUCUUCGUAAUCGAUGUCAUCGUUAUCAUUGUCAUCUUUGUCACUACUGUCACCAAGCCUGAUGUGCCGCAGUCCACGGAUCAGUACAUGGAACCAUCUCAGCAUGGAGUUCAGGAUGUUCUGAACAUUUUAACCGAGGUUCAUGUUUUUUACCGUACCAGACUUGACUUAGAUCAUGCCAGACUUGACUUGGAUCGUGUCAGACUUGACAAGGAUCAUGCCAAACUUGACUUGGAUCAUGCAAGACUUGACUUGGAUCAUGGGGUUUCACAAAAUGAUCGAGACUUCUCUCUUUUGGCUCGAUUGGCUCGUACCGCAUGUACCGACGACCAUGCUGAAGAUCUCUCUACCUUGUUCGAUCCAAUCAUGGACUUUUUCUUUGGACAUUUCUCUAAGGCAAGGGUCCAUAAGUUAUCAGAAGACUUGGGUUUUGUUGGAACGUAACUUGUCCGAUCAGAACACCCCGCGGCCUUAGCAGAACGUCUCGCAGCCCUUGCUGAUCGUCCCGCUUAUGUGACUGUCCUUACCGCCUUGGACUAGCCGGUCAAGAGGCAUCUUGAUGGAAGCCGAUCAGUCACAUUAAUUAAUCUUGUCUUUAUUUUCGUUUAAUGACUAGAUCUAGAUAAACUUUUAUAUUUAAUUCCUAGAUCUACAAAACUCUAUAAGUAUAAAACUCUUUCAUUUUAAUAAAUCAGAAAUCGAUUUUGUCUAAAGUUUGAGUUAAACUCUUUGUUCUUCGUUUAAGAACUUGUCUUGUUUCUUGGUAAGUCAUAUCCAAGUAAACACUUCCUCAAAUCGUUGGUCUUGUGAGUCAUAUCAAGCAACGACGAGAAAUCCUUCACUUGGUGGUCUUGUGAGUCAUAUCAAGCACCAUCUGAAGUCGGGAAUAUCGAAGGCCAUUCUUCAACCUUCACGCGACCCUUCAAUCCAUCCAGUUCUCCAUCUAUAGUUCAUAUCCAAAUCUGAUCCAUUCGAGUGAGCCGAUCUUAGGGUCCUUCAAGUGGUAUCAGAGCCGCUCGUUUGGUAUCUUCUAAAUCAUUCAUCUUUCUCAUCUUCCAUUUCUAAAUCAUAAACACUUCUUCUUCUUUCUAUCUUGAAUCCGGGCCCCGCAUUACCAUCAUCUAUCUAUAAAAAGAAAAAAGAUCUAUAAAAAAAAAAAGAAUUCGAAAAGUUUUUCAUUCGGGGAUUGGUGGUGGAAGAGAAAACCUGCUGGCUGAGGAGAAAUCCAGCUUUUGUGGUGGUUAAAACGGAUUCCCAAAAAUCAAAAAUCUCUUAUCUUUCUCUCUUAAGAAAUUCCUUUUGUGCUUGCUUGGAUUUUGUCCAUUGGAAUUCUUUGAUUUGUUCUUCUUAGAACAUUGAGUAGAAACUUGUGUGUAAUCACCAAAAAUUUUUUUUUUGAGAGAAACACUUGAGUGGGUGAUUAAACACUUGAGAGUGUGAGGUUUUAUUUCCUAACUUUUGUGUUGAGAUUUUCAGGUUAUGAUGUUUGGUCUUCAAAGGAAAAGUAGCAAAGAGAAACCCCCACGACAAACUGUCUCUCAAUUUCCAUUCAAAUAUUCUUUGAAUAAUUUUGAUGAGUUUGUUAGUGUGCAGGAAAAGCCAAACCGAAGGUGCAAAGAACAAAACAAAACGACCAGAGAUGUGGCUGAUCCCAAGAGGCGAUUGUUUCAAUUUGAUGUCCUAGAGUUUGGUGAUAACUUUGAGAAGGGAAUGAUGAAAACCCUCAAGGACAUCAGCAAGAAGCAAAAGAAGAGCACAUCCACACGUACACCUGUAGCUGAGCCAUCCUUAUUCAUCAGCAAGAAAUUCAAAGGUAAAUCUGAAACCAAUGUUGAGGAGUUGAAAUAUUUUUCAGAUUCUUUACCUAUCUAUGAUGAAUAUGAUGAAGAACCAGUUGAAAGCUUGAUGAUUUGUGAGAAAAACAUGUGAUUUUCCUUCUUCUGAAUCUAAGCUUAUGAUUGAUAAUGAACAGACUAUUGUAGAUAUAACUGUUUUGCAACCGGAGCAUCCAAGUAGUCUUGUUUUGUCUCAACAGGUUUUUGAGGAAGAGCCAUUGGACUAUCCACAUCAAGGACCAUGUCUUGACACUAGGAACCCCUUGGAUGAGGAUUUAGGUCAUAUCUUUGAUGAGGAGGAUGAACCUGGCCCAGUAUUUGAUCAAGAAGCAACAAGCAUUACCUCCAUCAUUAUGGAGAGCCAUCUAUGUUUUGAUCCCGGCAUAACUCCUGUCUCUUUGACUCCUGAUCUUCAAGAGCACUUGUUUGUUUUGAGUAUCCAGGAAAGACAGGUUCAGCCUCUGAGAAAUGAAACCAUCGACCGUGCCCAAUAGCCUGAGAUUUGGAGAAGCUUUGUUGUCCAAACCGGCUACCUUGGAGAUGCCAUAGACUAGGUUCAGUCCAAAAAGGAUAUCUCAACAUUCAGAAGGUCUUUUGUCAUCAAUACAAUUUCCCUGGAAAGACAACUAAACAAGGAUUCACUGAGGCUUGGAAUCACUUCAACAUCUUCACGGAGGAAGGAGUUAUGAAUUUUCCAAAUCGGAGGUUCUCCAGUCUGUCUAUCCGCGAGUACCAGACUUCUAAAGGAGAUUCAAGUCCAAGAAAGAAGCGGCCUGAGCCAAAACCGAUCCUCAACGAACCAAAUGUGUUUCCUCAGUCAACCUCCUUUCCAAACCAAAAGCACUGUAAGGAUCAUGGGUUGAUUGUCUCUACUCAUCAUGAAAACGUUUUGAAUCCGAGAAUAUCUAAGUAAAAACAAAUCUUUACUUGGUUGAAAAACGCUUUACUUAAACCUUUUCAUGAAUUGUUUUCAUUGAGCUGUGCUUUCAAAGAAAUUUGGUUUAGGAAAAGGCAUGAACCAAAAUUUCUUAGGCCAAAUAAUCAAUUUGAUUUCAUUCAUGAUGAGAAUUUUUCGAAAUUGGCAUUGCCUCAUUGUUUUCCUAACAGUUUCACAGCUUGGCCUGAUUUUGAGAUUGAUAAACCAAUUUUUGGCAAUCAUUUAACUUGCUUGAUACUUGCUUGAUACUUGCUUGAUACUUACCCACGUGCUUAAUGAUUAUCCUAAGGGCUUGGAUCCUGAUUUUGAUGUCUUAAGGAUAGAGAAACGCUUUGAUUAUUUCUUUCGCAGAUUUGAUGUGGUUUCUCUAGUUGUUUUGAAUGAACAGGAUAAGCAUGAUCAGUUUCCAAGGAGAGCAAGCACAGGUGAAUCCCUAAAGACUUGUGUUCGUGGAAUAUGUAACCGGGCAUACUUGAGGGAAACGAGUCCAAACCUCCAAGGAAGUUUUUGUCCAAAAUCUUCCUUCAUUGAAUUUUCCAUGAAUUUUAAAUCCUUUGUAUCUGAUUUAUUCCCUUUUGAUACAGGUACAAUGGAUUUGAGGACAAAUCCUUUUAAAGAGGGAGGGAAUGAUGUGCCGCAGUCUACGGAUCAGUACAUGGAACCAUCUCAGCAUGGAGUUUAGGAUGUUCUGAACAUUUCAACCGAGGUUCAUGUUUUUCACCGUACCAGACUUGACUUAGAUCAUGCCAGACUUGACUUGGAUCGUGCCAGACUUGACAAGGAUCAUGCCAGACUUGACUUGGAUCAAGCCAGACUUGACUUGGAUCAUGAGGUUUCACAAAAUAAUCGAGACUUCUCUCUUUUGGCUCGAUUGGCUCGUACCGCAUGUACCGACGACCGUGCUGAAGAUCUCUCUACCUUGUUUGAUCCAAUCAUGGACUUUUCCUUUGGACAUUUCUCUAAGGCAAGGGUCCUUAAGCUAUCAGAAGACUUGGGUUUUGUUGGAAUGCAACUUGUCCGAUCAGAACGCCCCGCGGCGGCCUUAGCAGAACGUCUCGCGGCCCUUGCUGAUCGUCCCGCUUAUGUGACUGUCCUUACGGCCCUGGACUUAGCCGGUCAAGAUGCAUCUUGAUGGAAGCCGAUCAGUCACAUUAAUUAAUCUUGUCUUUAUUUUCGUUUAAUGACUAGGUCUACUUUUCUAUUUAAUUCUUAGAUCUACAAAAUUCUAUAAGUAUGAAACUCUUUCAUUUUAAUAAAUCAAGAAAUCGAUUUUGUCUAAA